GGGUGAGUAGCUCCAAUUGGUAGAGCAGCGGUCUCCAAAACCGCUUGUUGCAGGUUCGAGCCCUGCCUCACUCG
RNAcentral lists this transfer RNA (74 nucleotides) under bacterium. Its description in RNAcentral is "tRNA-Trp". It matches the Rfam family "tRNA". From Rfam's summary of the family: Transfer RNA (tRNA) molecules are approximately 80 nucleotides in length. The record is from RNAcentral.